AUGAACUGGACCUGGAGAAUUAUCUUCCUGGUGGCAGUGGCUGCAGGUGUGAACUCCCAGGUGCAGCUGGUGCAAUCAGGGGCUGAGGUGAGAAAACCUGGGACAUCAGUGAAGAUCUCCUGCAAGGCGUCCGGAUACACCUUCACCGACUACGGGAUGAGUUGGGUGCGGCAGACCCCGGGACAAGGAAUUGAGUGGAUGGGAGACAUAAACACUAAGAAUGAUGGUACAAACUAUGCACCGAAGUUCCAAGGCAGACUCACACUUACUGCAGACAGGUCCAAGGACACAGCCUACAUGGAACUGAGCAGGCUGAGCACUGAGGACACGACCAUGUAUUACUGUUUACCAUAG
Sorex fumeus (smoky shrew) is the source of this 354-nucleotide non-coding RNA. NCBI's taxonomy places the organism in Eukaryota, Metazoa, Chordata, Mammalia, Eulipotyphla, Soricidae. The record is from the annotation of a RefSeq genome assembly.